AUACUUACCUGGCAAGGGGGAUACCAUGAAGAGAAGGUGGUUCACCCAUAGCGAGGCUCAGCCAUUGCACUGAGGCUGUUGCGAAUUCCCCAAAUGUGGGAAUCUCGAUUGCAUAAUUUCUGGUAGUGGGGAACUGCGUUUGCGCUCUCUCCUG
Molecule: small nuclear RNA, 154 nt
Organism: Gadus morhua (Atlantic cod)
Lineage: Eukaryota; Metazoa; Chordata; Actinopteri; Gadiformes; Gadidae
Gene: U1
Rfam family: U1 spliceosomal RNA
About the family: U1 is a small nuclear RNA (snRNA) component of the spliceosome (involved in pre-mRNA splicing). Its 5' end forms complementary base pairs with the 5' splice junction, thus defining the 5' donor site of an intron. There are significant differences in sequence and secondary structure between metazoan and yeast U1 snRNAs, the latter being much longer (568 nucleotides as compared to 164 nucleotides in human).
Source: Ensembl